Molecule: long non-coding RNA, 705 nt
Organism: Planococcus citri (citrus mealybug)
Lineage: Eukaryota; Metazoa; Arthropoda; Insecta; Hemiptera; Pseudococcidae
Exons: 4
Source: RefSeq, a predicted model, not a curated record
AUUUCUCGCGUAUUUUAGUAAUAUUUAGCCGUAUAAUUGUGGAUUUACGAGACGAGCUAUGGUUAUGCAGAAGAAGAUAGUGAAUAGUGAAAGACCGUUGAAACCAGGAACAGAAUAUCUCCAUCUCGGAACGAUUUCGCCGCUAGGUACAUGUGUAUUAAUCAGAAUCAGAACUUUCCAAGUUUCUAUUCGAAUUCCGAAUUUCCACUAAUUGCGAAUUAAUUAUUUCGGUUUACGAAGAAAUAAAUCGCCGGCACUUCUGUACGGAAUGGGCAUUGCAUUGGGCAUUCGUACGUCAUCCAAUCUCCAUCUCCAGUCAGCUGUUCAACAAGUGGCAAGGUGCCGGGUGGCGUCUGAAGACUGAAAACGUGUACGGUAUAUUGAAUUGAACGCGGUGGCAGAGUUGGAGAAAAAAACUAACGUGAAAAUCAACAAAACGAAACAAGGUCAGGUUUAUUCGCCUAUGAGAAAUUUCUUUUAUUGUGGACGUCGCGUUUUGUCUCAUCGUCCGCGGGUUCGGGGUUACAGACGAAAUAUUAAUAUCGCCGAGGUAUUCUGUAUUUCGCAUCACCUUAUCAGCAGCAAUCAAACGAAGCAGAUUGUACGAUCAAUGGGAAUUUAAAAGUAAGUAAAGUACGACUACGAAGAUAUGUUCGCUAGAACUACAUAAUAUAGGUAGUUAGGUACUAGAUAGAUUAGAUACCU